This 488-nucleotide ribosomal RNA is filed under the name Cantharellus minor. RNAcentral's name for it is "partial small subunit ribosomal RNA". It matches the Rfam family "Bacterial small subunit ribosomal RNA", at positions 373 to 931 of the family's 1533-position model. Lineage: Eukaryota; Fungi; Basidiomycota; Agaricomycetes; Cantharellales; Hydnaceae. The record is from RNAcentral.
GCUCGCAAGAGUGAACGAGCUAACUGAAAGAAUAUACAAUCUAAAGUUAGGAAAAUUAUAAAAAUAUAUUAUAAUUUUAAAGACGAAUCUAACUAACAGUGUCGUCCAAAUCUGGUGCCAGAAGACUCGGUAAUACCAGAGACGCGAACGUUAAUCAUCUUGAAUGGGCAUAAAGGGUUUGUAGGCGGCUUAUUUUGUAAUAGGCUAGAAUCUUAUAGAGGUAAAUAAAAUACUUAGAGGAGGGUUGAUAUCCAUAGAUCCUAAGUGGAAUCCUAAUUGCGAAGGCAAUUUACCAAUACAGAUUGACGCUGAGAAACGAAGGUUAGGAAAGGAACUAGGAUUAGAGACCCUAUUACCCCUAACUGUAAACGAUGAAUGGAAGAUAUUUACAAAACUGUAAGUGUCGAAGUGAAUACGUUAACCAUUCCGCCUUGCUAGUAUACUUGCAAAAGUGAAAACAAAAAAAUUAGUCGGUCCUAAAGCAAACG